This 497-nucleotide ribosomal RNA is filed under the name uncultured bacterium. Its description in RNAcentral is "partial 16S ribosomal RNA". It matches the Rfam family "Bacterial small subunit ribosomal RNA", at positions 28 to 507 of the family's 1533-position model. The record is from RNAcentral.
GAUGAACGCUGGCGGCGUGCCUAAUACAUGCAAGUCGAGCGAACGGACGAGAAGCUUGCUUCUCUGAUGUUAGCGGCGGACGGGUGAGUAACACGUGGAUAACCUACCUAUAAGACUGGGAUAACUUCGGGAAACCGGAGCUAAUACUGGAUAAUAUUUUGAACCGCAUGGUUCAAAAGUGAAAGACGGUCUUGCUGUCACUUAUAGAUGGAUCCGCGCUGCAUUAGCUAGUUGGUAAGGUAACGGCUUACCAAGGCAACGAUGCAUAGCCGACCUGAGAGGGUGAUCGGCCACACUGGAACUGAGACACGGUCCAGACUCCUACGGGAGGCAGCAGUAGGGAAUCUUCCGCAAUGGGCGAAGGCCUGACGGAGCAACGCCGCGUGAGUGAUGAAGGUCUUCGGAUCGUAAAACUCUGUUAUUAGGGAAGAACAUAUGUGUAAGUAACUGUGCACAUCUUGACGGUACCUAAUCAGAAAGCCACGGCUAACUACGUG